AAGGAGUGAGGAGCUCUGCAUGUGAGCUCCUCUCUCCUUCUCUACGUGGUCCCGGGCAGAAGAGGUCUCGGCAGCUGGGAGGGCGGGCGGUUGCUCAACACAGAAGUUGCCGUCUCAAUAUUGAUCGUUUAAAACAACAAUCACCGCAGAAUGUGGCAUGUUAAUAAGCGGAUUUUAUUUGCAGCACUUUAAUAAUGCAGGUACGUUCUCCAACCGAGUGUAGCACUUCCUCUUUUUAAGUUUGCAGUUUGUGCAAGUUUACUCGGAGGAAAGUACUGUUGCUUUUCACAGAACAUCGCUGCCCCAGUAUUAUGAAUCUAUCUGUCUGCUUAAUAAAUAUUUCUUAAUAUGCAACAGUUGGGGUUGGCUUAAAUAAUAUGAUUAGGUUUGGUGUUCUGUCUGCCAAUCUUGAUCUGACAAGAAAACUGCGAUAGGUAAGCAGUAUUUUAUCAAAAUGGAUUUUAGUGUGAAAUAUGGCACGGCUUAAUCUCUAUGUUCUAAAAAUGGCUGUUGGCAAAUUGAAAGCAUCCCCCCCAAAAAAGGGCAAGAGAAAGGAAGAAGGAAUAAAUUAAAAAAACAACACCUAGCGCCCGUUAUUAUAACGGGCUUAAAAUUACUAGUAGAGAAUAUUCUCUUAACAACAUUAUUUUACUUUUAUUAAGACCAUAUUACUAUAUAAUUGAUUGUUUUAUUAUGUGGAUUGUUUUAUCAUUUUUGUGAGCUACCUCAAGCAGUAUUGUUACCAGAACUGCACAAAGGCACUGGCAGGAUGGUUUGGUUAUGCUUCCUGGUCUGAAGUGGGAAAAUUAGCUCGACUUGGAGUACAGUUCUAACACAGCAUUAAUUUAAGCUGGUGUAUUGGAAAUGAGGCUUAGAGGCGUAAUUACAGUUUCAAAGCUUUAUUUAGGGUAAAAUCAGGGAAGUGCAUUAGGCAAAAGAGGGUCUGGUUAGGCAAUUCAGUAAUUUGGCUAGUGUUCUAAACGAGGGUCUAAUUAGAGGCUUACAGUAAAAAGUGCCUGGAGAGCAGGCGGGGGACACAAAGAAAAGAAGUGAGGGAGCUUGCGGGGAGGUGAGGUGUUAGUAUUACCUAUCCUUCCCAGGCAUGUUCAUUGCACUAAAGACGAUAAAGGGUCUCCUUGGGAGUAGAGAGCAGGGUGAAGCGGGGAGCAGCAGUUGUGACGGAUAGAGUGGAAGUCUGUCAGGUAACAGAGUGGGAAGCUUCCUAACCAUGUGGCAUGGCCAGGGCAGUUAUACUUGAAAACAUGCCCUGGGGCAGUUUCAAGGCAAUCAGGAGGCUAUCAGAAGGAAGAAGGGAACAGCCUGGGUGGGGCACUGUCUGUGCUGUCUUUUGCCUCUGCCCCACCUUUCCUCCAGCUCUUCUCCCGACCCUCUGACCCCAGGAAGCUCUGAGAACACUCCCUCGAGGAUUAGGGUGCUGCUGCUGAAUGCCAGGAGGAGAAUAGGCAAUAGUUUUGUCUUGCUGUCUUAUCAGUGCAUGUUAUAUUCUGAAAGCAUGAACAGAAUCACAUCCAACAGAUUAUUUUAUGAGUCAACACAGAGGAACCUAAUCGAUCUCUUAUAGACCAAAAGCAAAUUAAAACAACCUUGUCCAGGAUGGUCAGGAUACAUGCAAAAUGUCAUAGUCUAUCAACACCCUUGAGGGUCUGCCAUUUCCUUCCUGCUGAUGAUCGACUUAAACCUGCCAACUUACAGCUGUGUGUGCACUUCAUGGAAGUUUCCAUGUUCAGAAAUGGAAAGGCUGAAUGUGAAGAUGCCAGUUGUAACCUUUGACAACGUCUGUGGGUAAAGGCUAUGCACAAUGUCUGCCCUAAGCUUGAAGAAUUUCCCAAUAUUGUGAUUAGUCUUGGCAGAUUUCACACACUGGCGAUUUGAUGAGUGGAUCCGGCAUUGAGGAAACUUUGCAGAUGGUGUAUUUUGGAAAUGCUGUUUCUCAUAUGUUAACAGGAAAAGCCUAGUCACGUGCUCUUCAAGGACAUCUCUUGGUUUCUUCAGCUCUGACAGCAAUUUUCCAGCAGCUAUUCUGAAUUGCAGCUUGCCACUAUGAGCUCUCUGUGACAAAUGAAACUGAGAUAAUGAAUGAUAUAUGUGAACUGCUACACGUAGGCACUCUGAACAGCAAUUUCAACAAACCUGAUCAAACUUUAUGAUGCUUUCUUCUGAGGCAAAACACAGCUGAUCCACAGCUGAAAUCACAGCACAGAAGAAUUUCAUAUCCAGUUCUUACUGAACUAUAAUCACUAUUAGAAGAAAGGAAAGAGACUUCUGAAGACACACAAAGCAAAGUGAAGACACAUGAACUGCCAAGCUUUGGAUUAUGUAUCAUUACAUGGAUAUCGUCAAAUAUUGAUCUGGCAGAGCACACAGGCAACUUUAAUAAAUAUGCCUUGAACUAAAUAUGAGGGCUGUCACCCAAAUAACACAAUCGUAGUCAAUUAAUCAUAGGGGCUGGCAUCCAGGGUAGCAUUAAAGGGACAUAGCCAUAUGAGCCAGCAUCCCGUGUGCAUCAAUGAUGUCAUUUGAGCUGUGCCUCACUUCUCAUCCAUUUAAUAGUCUUUUAUAGUUGCUUCCCUCAUAUACACAAAUAAAUCUUAUGUAGAUUUACACAUAAGAUAAAGGUUUGUUCAGAAGCAACUCCAUUUUCUCCUUCCCCUCCCUUUUCCUUUCUGACUUUUCUCCCUUUUCCUUUCCUUUCCUUUCCUUUCCUCCCCCCCCCCCCGCCGCCACUCUCUACAAGAUCCCCCUUGGGACAAACCUCUCAACAACGCAACAUAAAAGAUUACUAGACAGAAUAAAAUAUAGUCCAUCCCAACUCUGUGCAGGAACUGCACUGCAAGGAGGUAAGCGUGUGGUAGUGGCUACUUCCAGGUGGGGCCAGGUGCACAGUGGCUUUCUUUGGCUUCGAUCCUUCAGAGCUAAAUAAUUGCACAAGCCUAUAUAGUAGCACCCCAGACACUAGUAAGUCUGGAUGUUUCCCCAGGAUGUUUCAAUCUAUACCAUGGACAUCAGGUAUCCUGGAAAUUUUAUAUCUCAUGGUUGAUUGCAUAUCAACCAACCAAGUUACAUCCCUGCUAAUUUGGCAAAGAGGCACUUUUUAAUGUGGUGAUUCUCUUUAUUUAGCAGGGGGAGAGUAAUUGGCUCUAUCCACCCCUGCACAGUACCUCCAGUGACUGUUGCUGGUGUCUAUCUUGUGUUUCUUUUUAGAUUGUGAGCCCUUUGGGGACAGGGAUCCAUCUUAUUUAUUUAUUAUUUCUCUGUGUUAACCACCCUGAGCCAUUUUUGGAAGGGCGGUACAGAAAUUGAAUGAAUAAUGAUAAAUAAUAAAUAUCAGAUGCUGCUGAUCAUUCAGUGGUAGUGUUUGGCAUCAUUUUAAGAUGAAGGAUAUCUUAUAAUGAUGAGAUAUGUUUCAUCAUUUAUAAUGAAGAUAAUCUCACCCAUCUCUCUCUUUAAAAAUACAAGUUAUAGAAACCCCUCAGGCUUCUUUUGAAAGCCAUGAAAAAGAAGGUAGUCAUAUUUUAUUGCGUGUAUCAGUCCAAAGAGUGCUUUGAUGCUGCUAGUACUUAGAAACACAGUUAUACACGAGUUUGAACAACGGUUGCAAACCAACACUAUCAGAUAUAAAAUGUUAAAUAAAGACAUGGUCUAAUAUUUGGUAAAUAUUCAACCUCAAAAUUAGAUGAGGAUUUUGAUGAAAAUUACUGGGCAAAUUUAUGUCAGCUCUUGUCUCUUUGCUAUAUAAUUAAAAAUCAAAUGGAUUAGAGCACUUUUAAAAAGUUCUCAACAUUUCAUACUUUAAAACUCAUUUUAUUUUUUCAGACAGUUUUUCUUAUUGCAUGUACUACUCAUGGGAUAGAUGGGAACUGAUAUUGUAUUCAAUAAAGUCUGUGAAUGAGGCCAUGAGAGAAUUUAAAGUUAAGGACAUGAGGCUACCAUUCAGCAUACUGCUAAAUCUGAGUCACUCUGUGGUGAAAUGAAUUUUCUUGGUGUGUCACUCUUUUUGCUUCCACGAGAAAAUAUACUUCUUUAAAAAUAUUAUCCAUUCCUAUUAUGCACAGAAAGUGAUCUUUCAGGAAUUUCUUGGUGCUGGUUCCCUGAAAAAGCUGA
Long non-coding RNA from Hemicordylus capensis (graceful crag lizard), 4122 nucleotides. RefSeq lists it as uncharacterized. NCBI's taxonomy places the organism in Eukaryota, Metazoa, Chordata, Lepidosauria, Squamata, Cordylidae. The transcript is spliced from 4 exons. The record is from RefSeq and is a predicted model, not a curated record.